RNAcentral lists this ribosomal RNA (459 nucleotides) under uncultured bacterium. RNAcentral's name for it is "partial 16S ribosomal RNA". It matches the Rfam family "Bacterial small subunit ribosomal RNA", at positions 338 to 795 of the family's 1533-position model. The record is from RNAcentral.
CCUACGGGAGGCAGCAGUGAGGAAUAUUGGUCAAUGGCCGCAGGGCUGAACCAGCCAAGUCGCGUGAGGGAUGACGGUCCUAUGGAUUGUAAACCUCUUUUGUCAGGGAGCAAAGGGCGCCACGUGUGGCGUUUUGCGAGUACCUGAAGAAAAAGCAUCGGCUAACUCCGUGCCAGCAGCCGCGGUAAUACGGAGGAUGCGAGCGUUAUCCGGAUUUAUUGGGUUUAAAGGGUGCGUAGGCGGAAGGUUAAGUCAGCGGUCAAAUGUCGGUGCUCAACACCGGCCUGCCGUUGAAACUGGUCUGCUUGAGUGAGCGAGAAGUAUGCGGAAUGCGUGGUGUAGCGGUGAAAUGCAUAGAUAUCACGCAGAACUCCGAUUGCGAAGGCAGCAUACCGGCGCGCAACUGACGCUGAGGCACGAAAGCGUGGGGAUCGAACAGGAUUAGAUACCCCGGUAGUC